CGUGCGGCGAGGGGGCGGGGCGCCGGCCGGGCGGCGGCGAUGGCGGCGGCCGCGGACUCCGGCCUCAGGGUCUCGGGCACAGCGGGGCUGAUCGCCGCCGGCUGCUGCCCGAUCGGACCCAAGGUAACACCUGAGGCCCUGCGGCCGAGGAAGGCCGCGGUCCCGAUGAAGCCAGGGGCGCUGGGCCGCUUGGCGGAGGCGCCCGGGUCCCCCGACCCGGCCAGUGGGUGUCUCCCCAUCACCCCGAACCCCACUCCUGCCUGGACCUGGAUUCCGGUCGCGCUGCAAGUCCUCCGCCGGCCGUCCUCGCUGAACCCGCAGACUGGUGCCUGGUCCCCGCGGGGGUGAGCAUUGGGCUGGGAACCGGACAAGGAAUGGGGCGAGUCAGGCCCACCAUUUCCUGCCCGUGGGUCCCAAGCCUUCACCCACUGUUGCUGGUACCUGCCUAGCAGAAAGCCAUUUUGAAGUAAAUGCUAGUAAAACUGAGGUUUUUUUAAAAAAAAAAAAAGAAGUCUUUUUCAAGGGACGGUGGCACCCUCAUAGACACACGAAUUCAUUGCGGAGGCAUAUGUGGGGUUGGCGUUUGUGGCAUCAUUUUUAGUCUGUGGUCCUGGAGAAGCGCUGAAAGUGGAAGUGGACGGGAUUGGUUCGUCCAAUCGGACGUCAUGGGAAGCACGCUGGCUCUUUCUAAUCAGUCUGACAUCAGCCUUAUUCGAAAGCGAACGCGUUUCUUUUCCAGACAAGAACAACAUCGAGCGCUGGCCGUGACGGGGGACUCUUGGUGCUCCCAUGCCGUGAUCAAAGCCAGUGGAAAACUGUGACAACCCUUAGCUGGCCAAGGUGCCUGCUAAGGACAGACGCAUUGUGGAAUGGCGAGUGAGAGGCAGUACUUGCAGAUUCCGGCGGUGACCACAUGGCCGGUUGCAGAAACAAGACUACCAGUUAUGAGUGUUUCUUCCUUAUUUUGACGUGAAUAUAUUUGUGUAUGUGUUAGCCAUGUCGAUGAAAAAAACAUCCAGCCUAAGUAAGAGAAAGCUUAUGAGAGUUUAUUUGAGCAAAACUGACAACAAUUGCCAGGAAGCAAAAAUCUCAACGGAUUCAGAAAAUGCUGCGCAAAAUGCGGGUUUGCAGCUUAUUUUAUACAUAGAAUCAAGGGAGGAAGGUUACUCCACUGGUGGUAGAUUAUGGGGUUGGGAGAAAGCAAAGCGGGGAAAUCUCUAUUGGAUAAAAGUACAUUGGAGAGACCGGUACUUCUUUCUCAUAGGUGGGCGCAGGAUAGUUAAUGGCUCACUUCUUCCAGCACAUAGAGAUGGUAAUCAGGGGAUGAGAAUAAGAAUGAGAUUCUAUAGCUUCCUGCUCUGGUCCAGAAAAGGGGAUUACCGACAUUCCAAGGGCAUGCUACCCUAGAUGCCAAAAGAUAAUCAAUAGGCUCGCUUAAGGUAGAGAUUGAGUUUAUCAGGGGAGCUUCAGGCUAAAGAUGUGACUUCCCACGGGGGU
Molecule: long non-coding RNA, 1497 nt
Organism: Hipposideros armiger (great roundleaf bat)
Lineage: Eukaryota; Metazoa; Chordata; Mammalia; Chiroptera; Hipposideridae
Exons: 3
Source: RefSeq, a predicted model, not a curated record